RNAcentral lists this transfer RNA (86 nucleotides) under Deltaproteobacteria bacterium. RNAcentral's name for it is "tRNA-Leu". It matches the Rfam family "tRNA". From Rfam's summary of the family: Transfer RNA (tRNA) molecules are approximately 80 nucleotides in length. Lineage: Bacteria; Pseudomonadati; Myxococcota; Myxococcia. The record is from RNAcentral.
GCCGAAGUGGUGGAAUUGGUAGACACGCUGUGUUGAGGGCGCAGUGGGCUACGCUCGUGCCGGUUCGACUCCGGCCUUCGGCACCA